This 666-nucleotide long non-coding RNA is filed under the name Equus asinus (donkey). RNAcentral describes it as "lncRNA (ENSEASG00005032729.1)". The record is from RNAcentral. Lineage: Eukaryota; Metazoa; Chordata; Mammalia; Perissodactyla; Equidae.
GGUCAAGGCUUUGUGUGCUCAAAUGCCAGUAGUGCUAGCUACUGAUGACUCACAGUUGCAUACAACUCUGGGAAUUGCCCUCAGCUGAAGGCAGCUGCCUUGCCCAAAUCUGUGCUCCUGUUCUUGGCUGCAGCCAUAUCCAAUGAUGGAUUGUUGUGAGGCUAAAUCAAAAUACGUCUGGAAAUUUCAUUGGCUCUACCUUCAAAAUGUAUUCAGAAUUCAGAAAGUUCUUCAGGCAAAAGGAAUAUGAAACCAACCGUAAACUUGGAUCUACAUCAAGAAAUGAAGAGCGCUGGAAAUGGGAUAAAGUAAGAAUUUGAAAAUUUAAUUCAGAAUGACUUCCCUGACUCUGGAAGAAGUGAAACAAAGCUAUAUUCAGCCUUUCAUUAUCUUUCAAUUAAUUAUGAUCCUUGGAACAAUUUGGGCCUGGGAAUUUAAACUGCCAAAUUUGCCUUCUGGGAUGCUUUUCUUUCACAAAUUAGUGUUUCUCAAAAGCAUCCCAUAAAAAUAAUGACACUGACAGUCUAGACAAACAAAGCAGCUGCUUUUCUUUCAACAGUUCUCUUUGAGCUGGGAGAUACAAUUCUACGUCUAUAAUUACAUCUCAGACUGUAUUUCAAAAACACUUUUAAAAACUGGCAUUGUGUGUCCUGCAGAUGAUGAAAC